GACCUCAAAUCAGGUAGGACUACCCGCUGAACUUAAGCAUAUCAAUAAGCGGAGGAAAAGAAACUAACAAGGAUUCCCCUAGUAACUGCGAGUGAAGCGGGAAAAGCUCAAAUUUAAAAUCUGGCAGUCUUUGAUUGUCCGAGUUGUAAUCUAGAGAAGUGUUAUCCGCGUUGGACCGUGUACAAGUCUCCUGGAAUGGAGCGUCAUAGAGGGUGAGAAUCCCGUCUUUGACACGGACUACCAAGGCUUUGUGAUGCGCUCUCAAAGAGUCGAGUUGUUUGGGAAUGCAGCUCAAAAUGGGUGGUAAAUUCCAUCUAAAGCUAAAUAUUGGCGAGAGACCGAUAGCGAACAAGUACCGUGAGGGAAAGAUGAAAAGAACUUUGGAAAGAGAGUUAAACAGUACGUGAAAUUGCUGAAAGGGAAACGCUUGAAGUCAGUCACGUUGUUCAGAACUCAACCUUACUUUUGUUGGGUGUAUUUUCUGUUUAACGGGUCAGUAUCAAUUUUGAUCGUUGGAUAAAGUCCUUUGGAAUGUGGCUUCCUCGGAAGUGUUAUAGCCUUUGGUUGCAUACAACGGUUGGGAUUGAGGUACUCAGCACGCUGCAAAGCCGGGUUUCGACCACGUUCUGCUUAGGAUACUGGCAUAAUGGCUUAAUCGACCCGUCUGGAAACACGGACCAAGGAGUCUAACAUGCCUGCGAGUGUUUGGGUGGAAAACCCGAGCGCGUAAUGAAAGUGAAAGUUGAGAUCCCCUGUCGUGGGGAGCAUCGACGCCCGGACCAGACCUUCUGUGACGGAUCCGCGGUAGAGCAUGUAUGUUGGGACCCGAAAGAUGGUGAACUAUGCCUGAAUAGGGUGAAGCCAGAGGAAACUCUGGUGGAGGCUCGUAGCGAUUCUGACGUGCAAAUCGAUCGUCAAAUUUGGGUAUAGGGGCGAAAGACUAAUCGAACCAUCU
Molecule: ribosomal RNA, 955 nt
Filed under: Phaeomarasmius sp. Gates0006
Lineage: Eukaryota; Fungi; Basidiomycota; Agaricomycetes; Agaricales; Tubariaceae
Description: LSU rRNA
Rfam family: Eukaryotic large subunit ribosomal RNA
Source: RNAcentral